AACGAACGCUGGCGGCAUGCCUAACACAUGCAAGUCGAACGAGACCUUCGGGUCUAGUGGCGCACGGGUGCGUAACGCGUGGGAACCUGCCCUUAGGUUCGGAAUAACUCCCCGAAAGGGGUGCUAAUACCGGAUAAUGUCUUCGGACCAAAGAUUUAUCGCCUUUGGAUGGGCCCGCGUUGGAUUAGCUAGUUGGUAGGGUAAAAGCCUACCAAGGCGACGAUCCAUAGCUGGUCUGAGAGGAUGAUCAGCCACACUGGGACUGAGACACGGCCCAGACUCCUACGGGAGGCAGCAGUGGGGAAUAUUGGACAAUGGGCGAAAGCCUGAUCCAGCAAUGCCGCGUGAGUGAUGAAGGCCUUAGGGUUGUAAAGCUCUUUUACCCGGGAUGAUAAUGACAGUACCGGGAGAAUAAGCGCCGGCUAACUCCAUG
RNAcentral lists this ribosomal RNA (433 nucleotides) under uncultured bacterium. RNAcentral's name for it is "partial 16S ribosomal RNA". It matches the Rfam family "Bacterial small subunit ribosomal RNA", at positions 29 to 507 of the family's 1533-position model. The record is from RNAcentral.